UGGGGAAUCUUCGACAAUGGGCGCAAGCCUGAUCUAGCGAUGCCGCGUGAGUGACGAAGGCCCUAGGGUCGUAAAGCUCUUUCGCCAGGGAUGAUAAUGACAGUACCUGGUAAAGAAACCCCGGCUAACUCCGUGCCAGCAGCCGCGGUAAUACGGAGGGGGUUAGCGUUGUUCGGAAUUACUGGGCGUAAAGCGCGCGUAGGCGGACUAUUAAGUCAGGGGUGAAAUCCCGGGGCUCAACCCCGGAACUGCCUUCGAGACUGGGCGGCUGGAGACCGGAAGAGGAGGGUGGAAUACCCAGUGUAGAGGUGAAAUUCGUAGAUAUUGGGUGGAACACCAGUGGCGAAAGCGGCUCUCUGGUCCGGUUCUGACGCUGAGGCGCGAAAGCGUGGGGAGCAAACAGGAGUAGAUACCCGUGUAGUCC
RNAcentral lists this ribosomal RNA (424 nucleotides) under uncultured prokaryote. RNAcentral describes it as "bacterial SSU rRNA". It matches the Rfam family "Bacterial small subunit ribosomal RNA", at positions 355 to 796 of the family's 1533-position model. The record is from RNAcentral.